GCGCCUGUAGCUCAGUGGAUAGAGCACUUGCCUCCGGAGCAAGGGGCCACAGGUUCAAAUCCUGUCAGGCGCACCA
Molecule: transfer RNA, 76 nt
Filed under: Nitrospira sp.
Lineage: Bacteria; Pseudomonadati; Nitrospirota; Nitrospiria; Nitrospirales; Nitrospiraceae
Also listed under: 9 other names
Description: tRNA-Arg
Rfam family: tRNA
About the family: Transfer RNA (tRNA) molecules are approximately 80 nucleotides in length. Their secondary structure includes four short double-helical elements and three loops (D, anti-codon, and T loops).
Source: RNAcentral